Molecule: ribosomal RNA, 300 nt
Filed under: uncultured Alteromonadales bacterium
Lineage: Bacteria; Pseudomonadati; Pseudomonadota; Gammaproteobacteria; Alteromonadales
Description: bacterial SSU rRNA
Rfam family: Bacterial small subunit ribosomal RNA
Source: RNAcentral
CGCGUAGGAAUCUACCCAGUAGCGGGGGAUAGCCCGGGGAAACCCGGAUUAAUACCGCAUACGCCCUAAGGGGGAAAGCAGGGGAUCUUCGGACCUUGCACUAUUGGAUGAGCCUGCGUUGGAUUAGCUAGUUGGUGGGGUAAAGGCCUACCAAGGCGACAAUCCAUAGCUGGUCUGAGAGGAUGAUCAGCCACACUGGGACUGAGACACGGCCCAGACUCCUACGGGAGGCAGCAGUAGGGAAUAUUGGACAAUGGGGGCAACCCUGAUCCAGCCAUGCCGCGUGUGUGAAGAAGGCUU